RNAcentral lists this ribosomal RNA (301 nucleotides) under uncultured bacterium. RNAcentral's name for it is "partial 16S ribosomal RNA". It matches the Rfam family "Bacterial small subunit ribosomal RNA", at positions 509 to 807 of the family's 1533-position model. The record is from RNAcentral.
CGGUAGCCGCGGUAAUACGUAGGUGGCAAGCGUUGUCCGGAGUUAUUGGGCGUAAAGCGCGCGCAGGUGGUUUAAUAAGUCUGAUGUGAAAGCCCACGGCUCAACCGUGGAGGGUCAUUGGAAACUGUUAAACUUGAGCGCAGGAGAGAAAAGUGGAAUUCCUAGUGUAGCGGUGAAAUGCGUAGAGAUUAGGAGGAACACCAGUGGCGAAGGCGGCUUCUUGGCCUGUAACUGACACUGAGGCGCGAAAGCGUGGGGAGCAAACAGGAUUAGAUACCCCAGUAGUCCCUGUCUCUUAUAC